RNAcentral lists this long non-coding RNA (359 nucleotides) under Elaeis guineensis (African oil palm). RNAcentral describes it as "long non-coding RNA (EGUI_LNC060233)". The record is from RNAcentral. Lineage: Eukaryota; Viridiplantae; Streptophyta; Magnoliopsida; Arecales; Arecaceae.
CAGGGUAAUUAAAUUAUCCUUGAGGUAUGUCUAUGUUUCUCAUACUUUUAGAUUUAAUUUUGAAAUUAAAAUAUCAGAUAAUAAUAUUAGAUCUAAUAUACAUUAGAUCUAAAAUAGCGUAAGAUAAAAAUUUAAAAUUUAUUCUGCCCCAGAUUUGAUGAAAUCUGGAAGAUCUUACACAAGAAAAAGGCGGUUUUCCCUUCACUAGCUCCCUUACGGAACCAUUGCAUGAUGGAUGAUUGUUCUCAACAACCUGAGAAUAGGAGCAGGGCAAGGGCUUCUUCAAGAAUCUUGUUGCUGAAAUCUGAUUUCAGCACAACCAAAAUGAAGAGACUAUGGAGCAUGGAGGAAAGGGAAGA